Molecule: long non-coding RNA, 681 nt
Filed under: Ananas comosus (pineapple)
Lineage: Eukaryota; Viridiplantae; Streptophyta; Magnoliopsida; Poales; Bromeliaceae
Description: long non-coding RNA (ACOM_LNC000198)
Source: RNAcentral
AAUAGAAGCAUAAAAAUAGGAAUAAAAAUAGCUCAUCCUUGUUAGGAUUUGGUUAGAUUUGUAGUUAAAUCAUAUUUGGAUAAGAAUUAAUAUUUAAAUCUGUUUGAGAUAAAUUAAGAUUUAAAUAUUAAUUAGAGGAUAAACCUAACUAGAUUAGGAUUAAUAUUUAAAUCUAUUAGAGAUUGAUUAAGAUAGAUUUAGAUAUUAAUUAAAGUAUGAAUCCUAAAUAUAUUAGGAUUGGGGUACGUUUUAAGUUGAGCAUUAUAAAUAGGCAUUGUGGCUCUCCUUUUUGAAAGUAGUACCGCUGGACUCGUACCAGAGAAAGAAAAAGAGAGAGAGAGUUAUUUUAGUGCACCUUGUGCACGGGUGCACGCGGAGAGGUCUUCUUUGUGGGUUUAUAGAAGACGAGAGAAUGGUAUAAGAGAUUCAAGAAAGAGGGCUCGGAUUAUAGCUAUUCUGUGCACAAAAGAAGUUAGGUGUAAUCUUCUCUUAUUUAAUGAAUCUUAUUUUACCUGCAUAUUUUUUUUCUUUUAUGAUUGUAUCAACUUUUGCUGAGGAGACGGGUUUAUGGUAAAAACCCGAUUCGACACUUCCGUUGCGGAUUCCCAACAAUCGAUACCGGAUCCACAGCAGUCGGUAUCGGAGCGGGUUGCGGAUUCACGAUAUCCGGUAACGGGGCGA